This 259-nucleotide unclassified non-coding RNA is filed under the name plant metagenome. Its description in RNAcentral is "partial contains small subunit ribosomal RNA, internal transcribed spacer 1, and 5.8S ribosomal RNA". The record is from RNAcentral.
CGUAGGUGAACCUGCGGAAGGAUCAUUAUUGUAUAACCGAGGUGCGAGGGCUGUCCCUCACCCGACAGGACGUGUACGCCCGAGUGCACGCACACACCUCCUUCUCACCCCAGUGUGCACCGCCGCGUGGGUCCCCCCUUGGCUUGUUCGGAGGGGGGCUUACGUUUGCACUCAAACUUUGUAUGCAGUGUAGAAUGUAUUUUUUGUUUUUGAGACCACGCAAUUAUUACAACUUUCAACAACGGAUCUCUUGGCUCUG